Molecule: ribosomal RNA, 1724 nt
Filed under: Megadrilus pelagicus (nom. nud.)
Lineage: Eukaryota; Metazoa; Annelida; Polychaeta; Protodrilidae
Description: SSU rRNA
Rfam family: Eukaryotic small subunit ribosomal RNA
Source: RNAcentral
GCCAUGCAUGUCUAAGUACAACGUCUCUGUAUGUGAAACCGCGAAUGGCUCAUUAAAUCAGUUAUUGUUUAUUUGAUGAUCGAAUCUACUUGGAUAACCGUGGUAAUUCUAGGGCUAAUACAUGCUGGUGUUCCCGACUGCUUUUAGCGGAAGGGAGGCUUUUAUUAGGACAACGACCAAUGCUUGCUUGUCAUGACUCUGGAUAACAAAACGAAUCGCUCCGGCCUUGUGCCGCGAUGAAUCAUUCAAAGUUUCUGCCUUAUCAACUUUCGAUGGUAGUGUAUUGGACUACCAUGGCUAUAACGGGUAACGGGGAAUCAGGGUUCGAUUCCGGAGAGGGAGCCUGAGAAACGGCUACCACAUCCAAGGAAGGCAGCAGGCGCGCAAAUUACCCAAUCCCGGAUCGGGGAGGUAGUGACGAAAAAUAACAAUACAGGACUCUUUCGAGAAGCGGCGAUUGCAAUGAGUACACUUUAAAUCCUUUAACGAGUAACGAUUGGAGGGCAAGUCUGGUGCCAGCAGCCGCGGUAAUUCCAGCUCCAAUAGCGUAUAUUAAAGUUGUUGCAGUUAAAAAGCUCGUAGUUGGAUCUCCGGACGGACGGCUUCGAUGGGCGAGCGGAUUGACCCUGCUCGUCAAGUCAAGCUUUCGUCUAUUCUUCUUCAAGCGCACGAGUCUUCACUGAUCGAGUGCGCAGGAGGGAAUGUUUUACUUUGAGAAAUUAGAGUGUUCAAAGCAGGCAGUAGCGCCUGAAUAAUGGUGCAUGGAAUAAUGGAAUAGGACCUCGGUCUUCGUCGUCUGUUGGUCUUCGGGACGAAGUAAUGAUUAAGAGGGACAGCCGGGGGCACUAGUACUCGAGCGCGAGAGGUGAAAUUCUCAGACCGCUCGAAGACUAACUACGGCGAAAGCAUCUGCCAAGGAUGUUUUCAUUAAUCAAGAACGAAAGUUGGGGGAUCGAAGACGAUCAGAUACCGUCGUAGUCUCAACUAUAAACGGUGCCAACUGGCAAUCCGGGGCGAGAGUUAUUCGCCUCGGGCAGCUGACGGGAAACCCAAGUGUUUGGGCUCCGGGGGAAGUAUGGUUGCAAAGCUGAAACUUAAAGGAAUUGACGGAAGGGCACCACCAGGCGUGGAGCCUGCGGCUUAAUUUGACUCAACACGGGGAACCUCACCCGGCCCGGACACCGCAAGGAUUGACAGGUUGAGAGCUCUUUCUUGAUUCGAUGGGUGGUGGUGCAUGGCCGUUCUUAGUUGGUGGAGCGAUUUGUCUGGUUAAUUCCGAUAACGAACGAGACUCGAGCCUGCUAAAUAGUGCCGGUCAUCUGUAUGGCCGUGCACUUCUUAGAGGGAUGAUUGGCCUACCAAACCAAAUGAAAUCGAGCAAUAACAGGUCUGUGAUGCCCUUAGAUGUUCGGGGCCGCACGCGCGCUACACUGACGAGGGCAGCAAGCACCUCUUUGCCCGCGAAAGUUGGCAAGUACCCUUGUGAAACCUUGUCGUGCCAGGGAUAGGGAGUUGUAAUUCUCUCCCUUGAACGAGGAAUGCCUAGUAAGCGCAAGUCAUCAGCUUGCGUUGAUUACGUCCCUGCCCUUUGUACACACCGCCCGUCGCUAGUACCGAUUUCGAGUGGUUCGGUGAGACCUUCGGACCGAGCUCAGAUCCAUUCUGAGUUUAGGAAGAUGAUCAAACUUGAUUGUUUAGAGGAAGUAAAAGUCGUAACAAGGUUU